CCACAGGGUCCUGGUUCACCGGUCCUGGGAUGAGGACCCGGAGCCCCUGGAGCCAGAGCCCAAGGAGUCCGGGGCAGGAGCGGAAGCCGGUGUGGCUCCAGAGCCCGACCCAAGGGCAUCGGGGUCCUCGGAGUCUCUGCAGUCAGGGGUGGAGUCUGGAGCAACUCAUGCAGGGGCCUGGGACCCAGCAAGUGACCUGGGACCUGUGCGGGGACAGCAGGCAACUGAGCAGAGUCAGCUGGGUCCUGCUUCUGCUCCGGCUUCUCCUGGUUCCACUGUUCCUGCUUCUGAUCCCAACACUGUUCCGGCCCCUGACCUUGUCCCCGCCCCUGCCCCCGCCCCUGUCAACGCCCUUCUCCCUGCCCCUGCCCCCGCCCUUGCUCCCACAUGGAUGCCAGUCACAAAUCAAGGGCCUGAAGGCCUACACGGGGUGUUUACUUUACUUUAUUUGUGUUAUAUUUUAUUUCAAAUUUAUUCUCCAAUCCCUGACCCCGACCCCCCACCAGAAUAUCUCUUCUUCUUCUCCCUUAUACUUUUUCUCUUCUACUUUUUAGCUGUUACUUUAUUUGUUCAUUAGUUAUAAUCUGUAUUAAUCUUCAAUAAAAAGUUUUAUUUAUCUUA
Molecule: long non-coding RNA, 621 nt
Organism: Herpailurus yagouaroundi (jaguarundi)
Lineage: Eukaryota; Metazoa; Chordata; Mammalia; Carnivora; Felidae
Exons: 2
Source: RefSeq, a predicted model, not a curated record